Molecule: ribosomal RNA, 150 nt
Filed under: Penicillium oxalicum
Lineage: Eukaryota; Fungi; Ascomycota; Eurotiomycetes; Eurotiales; Aspergillaceae
Description: partial 28S ribosomal RNA
Rfam family: Eukaryotic large subunit ribosomal RNA
Source: RNAcentral
GGUUGACCUCGGAUCAGGUAGGGAUACCCGCUGAACUUAAGCAUAUCAAUAAGCGGAGGAAAAGAAACCAACAGGGAUUGCCUCAGUAACGGCGAGUGAAGCGGCAAGAGCUCAAAAUUUGAAAGCUGGCUCCUUCGGGGUCCGCAAAAA